RNAcentral lists this small RNA (1057 nucleotides) under Pongo abelii (Sumatran orangutan). RNAcentral describes it as "processed transcript". The record is from RNAcentral. Lineage: Eukaryota; Metazoa; Chordata; Mammalia; Primates; Hominidae.
AAGUUUUCGCUGGGCAGCUGAGAAGGUCGCUGUCAAGAUGGAGUUUCCAACCCAGUAAAUCCAAGGACCAGACCGUGACCUCAUAAAGCAUGAUCUCCUUCUGUCCAGACUGUGGCAAAAGUAUCCAAGCAGCAUUCAAAUUCUGCCCCUACUGUGGAAAUUCUUUGCCUAUAGAGGAGCAUGCAGGGUCCCAGACCUUUGUCAAUCCACAUGUGUUAUCCUUCCAAGGCUCAAAGAGAGGGCUGAACUCCAGUUUUGAAACCUCUCCUAAGAAAGUGAGAUGGUCCAGCACCGUCACCUCUCCCCAGUUAUCCCUCUUCUCAGAUGGUGACAGUUCUGAGUCUGAAGAUACUCUGAGUUCCUCUGAGAGAUCCAAAGGCGCCGGGAGCAGACCCCCAACCCCCAAAAGCAGCCCUCAGAAGACCAGCAAGAGCCCUCAGGUGACCAGGGGCAGUCCUCAGAAGACCGCAGCCCUCAGAAGACCAGGCAGAGCCCUCAGACACUGAAGCGGAGCCGAAUGACCACCUCACUUGAAGCUUUGCCCACAGGGACAGUGCUGACAGACAAGAGUGGGCGACAGUGGAAGCUGAAGUCCCUCCAGACCAGGGACAACCAGGGCAUUCUCUAUGAAGCUGCACCCACCUCCGCCCUCGCCUGUGACUCAGGACCCCAGAAGCAAAAGUUCUCGCUCAAACUGUCAACAAGUGGAAGAAGCUGUACUCGACCCCGCUACUGGCCAUCCCUACCUGCAUGGGUUUUGGCGUUCACCAGGACAAAUACAGGUUCUUGGUGUUACCCAGCCUGGGGAGGAGCCUUCAGUCAGCCCUGGAUGUCAGUCCAAAGCAUGUGCUGUCAGAGAGGUCUGUGCUGCAGGUGGCCUGCCGGCUGCUGGAUGCCCUGGAGUUCCUCCAUGAGAAUGAGUAUGUUCAUGGAAAUGUGACAGCUGAAAAUAUCUUUGUGGAUCCAGAGGACCGGAGUCAGGUGACUUUGGCAGGCUAUGGCUUCGCCUUCCGCUAUUGCCCAAGUGGCAAACACGUGGCCUACGUGGAAGGCAGCA